RNAcentral lists this ribosomal RNA (393 nucleotides) under uncultured bacterium. RNAcentral describes it as "partial 16S ribosomal RNA". It matches the Rfam family "Bacterial small subunit ribosomal RNA", at positions 523 to 918 of the family's 1533-position model. The record is from RNAcentral.
AUACGGAGGAUGCAAGCGUUAUCCGGAUUUAUUGGGUUUAAAGGGUGCGUAGGCGGUUUGCUAAGCGGGAGGUGAAAUGCCGGCGCUCAACGUCGGAAGUGCCUCCCGAACUGGUGGACUGGAAUGACUCUGCCGUGGGAGGAAUGUGUAGUGUAGCGGUGAAAUGCUUAGAGAUUACACAGAACACCGAUUGCGAAGGCAUCUCACGAAGGGUUGAUUGACGCUGAGGCACGAAAGCGUGGGGAUCAAACAGGAUUAGAUACCCUGGUAGUCCACGCAGUAAACGAUGAUUACUGGCUGUUUGCGAUACAAUGUAAGCGGCUGAGCGAAAGCGUUAAGUAAUCCACCUGGGGAGUACGUUCGCAAGAAUGAAACUCAAAGGAAUUGACGGGG